RNAcentral lists this transfer RNA (84 nucleotides) under Mycolicibacterium crocinum. Its description in RNAcentral is "Mycobacterium crocinum tRNA-Leu". It matches the Rfam family "tRNA". From Rfam's summary of the family: Transfer RNA (tRNA) molecules are approximately 80 nucleotides in length. Their secondary structure includes four short double-helical elements and three loops (D, anti-codon, and T loops). RNAcentral also lists the same sequence under 1 other name. Lineage: Bacteria; Bacillati; Actinomycetota; Actinomycetes; Mycobacteriales; Mycobacteriaceae. The record is from RNAcentral.
GCGGGCGUGGCGGAAUUGGUUUACGCGAUGGCUUUAGGUGCCAUUGCUCGAAAGAGCAUGGGGGUUCGAGUCCCCCCGCCCGCA